Molecule: ribosomal RNA, 4014 nt
Filed under: Trichonephila clavata
Lineage: Eukaryota; Metazoa; Arthropoda; Arachnida; Araneae; Nephilidae
Description: 28S ribosomal RNA
Rfam family: Eukaryotic large subunit ribosomal RNA
Source: RNAcentral
ACAGCUCCGAGCAGUGGAUCACUCGGCUCGCGGGUCGAUGAAGAACGCAGCCAGCUGCGAGAUUUGGUGUGAAUUGCAGAACACUCAGAUCACUGAUUAUUCGAACGCACAUUGCGGCUCCCGCUCCUCUGCGGGAGCCUCGCCUGUCUGAGGGUCGCGUGAUGCAUGCAGAGGUUCUUUCCUCGGAAGGUGACCAAACGGCCCCUUCGGAUUCGUCCGUGGGCUCAGAGAACGAUCUCUCCCGGGGAUCGACCGCAAACGUACCCCCGGGAGUAAGACAGAUAAAGGGAUAACCAUGAAAACGAGAAGCGACCUCAGAUCAGACGAGAGAACCCGCCGAACUUAAGCAUAUCAGUAAGCGGAGGAAAAGAAAACAACAGUGAUUCCCCCAGUAGCGGCGAGCGAAAAGGGAAGAGCCCAGCGCCGAAUCCCUGCGUCGAGAGGCGCAAUUUGGGAAAUGUGGCGUAAGGAGUGCGCGCAGGUCCGCCGCAGGGUUCGAGGUAAGUCCCCCUGACAGGGGCUUUUCCCGUGGCGGGUGCCAGGCCCGUGUCCUCGAGCCCCGUCGGCGGUGCCGGCGCCUCCGGAGAGUCGGGUUGCUCGGGAGUGCAGCCCCAAGGCGGGAGGUAGACUCCUCCCAAGGCUAAAUACGACCGCGAGACCGAUAGCAAACAAGUACCGUGAGGGAAAGUUGCAAAGAACUUUGAAGAGAGAGUUCAAGAGACGUGAAACUGCUCGGAGGGAAACGGGUGGGCCCUCGAAGUCCCGACCUUCCGCGGAGACUCAGUCGCUGUCGAGCGACGCACUUCUCCGCGGGAUUCUAGGGAAGUCGCGGCCGGUCGCCUUCUUCUCUCCGCCUCCGGGUGAGUCCGCCGCGCACCUUAUGGAGCGUCGGCGUCCCCCGGGGGCCCGAUGCAGAGAGGGCGACCCGGUGCCCGCACGGGCCAGCUCCUCCCGCCGUCCGCCUCUUCCGGGCACCUGAAGCCCGUCCGUCGCCGACGCGCCUCGUCCCUCGUGGAGGGCGGUCCUUCGGGCGACUCCUCGAAGUCGGAAAUGUAUAUAAUGCGGGCGGAGGGAGUUGCGGUUCCGCGACGAGUAGGUCGGUCACCCACCCGACCCGUCUUGAAACACGGACCAAGGAGUCUUGCUCUCGUGCGAGUCUAAAGGUACUUCGAGAAGCCCAGAGGCGCAGCGAAAGCGUAGAUCGCGAUCCCUCCUCUGACUCGAGGGGGGCGCAGCGACCGCCCGUGCCUUGAAGUGGGAACGGAGCGAGAGCACGAGGGCAGGGACCCGAUAGGUGGUGAACUAUUCUCGGGCAGGACGAAGGCCGAGGAAACUCGGCUGGAGGUCCGAAGCGGUUCUGACGUGCAAAUCGAUCGUCCGACCCGAGUAUAGGGGCGAAAGACCAAUCGAACCACCUGGUAGCUGGUUCCCUCCGAAGUUUCCCUCAGGAUAGCCGUCGCUCGUCGGCAGCAGUCUCGCCGGGUAGAGAGAAUGAUUAGAGCGCCUCGGGGACGCCCGUGUCACUCGACCUCUUCUCAAACUACGAACGGACGAGAAGGGAGCCUCUCCCGAUUCGGAGGCCUCCCGCGUAAGGAUGCAGAGUGGCGCGUGGGCCACUUUUGGUAAGCAGAACUGGCGCUGCGGGAUGAACCGAACGCCGGGUUAAGGCGCCCGAUGCGGGACGCUCAGAGACCCCAUAAAAGGUGUCGGUUGCUCUAUACAGCAGGACGGUGGCCACGGAAGUCGGCAUCCGCUAAGGAGUGUGUAACAACUCACCUGCCUAAGCAACCGGUCCUGAAAAUGGAUGGCGCUCCAGCGUCGAGCCCAUACCCGGCCCUUUCUCUAACGUCCAUAUUACGGAGAAAGGAGUAGGAGGGUCGCGGCGGAGAGCGUAGAAGGUCAGGGCGCGAACCCGACUGGAGCCUCCGCCGGUGCAGAUCUUGGUGGUAGUAGCAAAUAUUCGAGUGAGAACCUCGAAGACUGAAGCACGGAGAAGGGUUCCAUGUGAACAGCAGUUGAACAUGGGUGAGUCGGUCCUGAUUCACUUCCUAAUGGAAUACUUAAGACUUCUAUUAUUUGAGAUGAGAAGUAUUGGAGAAUGGGAAAAGGGUUAAUAUUCCCUUACCCGGACACGGAGAUAGGGGCACCCGUGUCCCAAGUGCGGUAACGCAAACGAACUCGGCGACGCCGUCGGAGGACCCGGAGAAGAGUUGACUUUUCUUCGUAAGAGCUCGUGUCCCUGGAAUCUCGUCACGAGGAGAUAGGGACGCUGUUCUCGUAAGAGCACGGUCGCUGCUGCCGUGUCCGGUGCGCCUCCGCCGGCCCUUGAAAAACCGAGGGAGAGAGUGUGAUUUUCGUGCCGGUCCGUACCCAUAUCCGCAGCAGGUCUCCAAGGUGAACAGCCUCUAGUCUCUAGAACAAUGUAGGUAAGGGAAGUCGGCAAGUUCGAUCCCUAACUUCGGGAAAAGGAUUGGCUCUUGUGUUUCCGUCCUCGCGGACCUCUUUUGCCGUAUUUCUUGCGCUUCUGCCGUGGGGACUGACCGCCCUCUCCGAGGCGUGGUCGGACCCCUACGCGGACGGAGGGAAGAGGAAAGAGGGUGGCCUCGCUCCUUCGAGAGCCGGGGCUUGUGCCGCGGGACAUCGUGGAAACGAACAAGAACUGGCACGGACUAGGGGAAUCCGACUGUCUAAUUAAAACAAAGCAUUGCGACGGCCGGAGAACGGUGUUGACGCAAUGUGAUUUCUGCCCAGUGCUCUGAAUGUCAAAGUGAAGAAAUUCAAUGAAGCGCGGGUAAACGGCGGAAGUAACUAUGACUUUCUUAAGGUAGCCAAACGCCUCGUCAUCUAAUUAGUGACGCGCAUGAAUGGAUUAACGAGAUUCCCACUGUCCCUAUCUACUAUCUAGCGAAACCACAGCCAAGGGAACGGGCUUGGCAAAUUCAUCGGGGAAAGAAGACCCUUUCGAGCUUGACUGUAGUCUGACUCUGUGGCGAGGCAUUAUUGGCGUAGUCUAGGUGGGAGUCUUUUCGUGAGGCGGGUCUGUGAAAUACCACUACUUUGAUCGCCUUGUUACUGAUUCGGUGAUGCUCUGUGGUCCUUCCUUCGGGAUGCGACGUGUUAUGUGAACUUAACCCGCGCUUCGUCGAAAGCGUCGGGGAAGAGCUCCGAAGACAGUGUCAGGCAGGCAGUUUGUCUGGGGCGGAACAUCUGUCAAAAGGCAACGCAGGUGUCCCAAGGCCGGCUCGGCCGGGACGGAAACCUGGCUUAGAGCAAAGGGGCAAAAGCCGGCUCGAUCUCGUUCUUCAGUAAGGAAGGGGACCUCGAAAGAGGGGCCCAUCGAUCCUUUCGAUGCGUGGGAGUCUCACGCGAGAGGUGUCAGAAAAGUUACCGGAGGGAUAACUGGCUUGUGGCGGCCAAGCGUUCAUAGCGACGUCGCUUAUUGAUUCUUCGAUGUCGGCUCUUCCUAUCAUUGCGAAGCAGAAUUCGCAAAGCGUUGGAUUGUUCACCCACUAACAGGUAACGUGAGCUGGGUUUAGACCGUCGUGAGACAGGUUAGUUUUACCCUCAUGAAGACGGGUCGUCGCGACGGUAAAAUCUGCCCAGUACGAGAGGAACCGUAGGUUCGGACAUUUGGUACUGCGCUCGGUGGUGCCGCCGGUGGCGCGAAGCUACCAUCCGCUCGGAUAACGGCUGAACGCCUCUAAGUCGGAAGCCGUCCCGAGAACGGUGAGGAUAUCAUUGUGUGCCCCUCGCGUCGAACGGCAGCUCUAGCCCCUCGAUGUUCCCCCUCGGCCCCGCCGUCGGGGAGCGCGAGCGGGCGAAAGUGGCCCCUUCGCACGCCCGAGACCUCCGGGACCCUCCGUAGACUCCGAGGGUCCUGCUCCUGCGAGCCUGCCUCCGGGCAGACGAGUGAUGUGAGUGGGCGUAGAGUCGUCUGCAGACGACGUUCUUGCUGGACGGGGUGUCGUAAGUAGCAGAGCACCCACCAUAGUGCGAUCUACUGAGACUCAUCCC